RNAcentral lists this ribosomal RNA (279 nucleotides) under uncultured bacterium. Its description in RNAcentral is "partial 16S ribosomal RNA". It matches the Rfam family "Bacterial small subunit ribosomal RNA", at positions 506 to 784 of the family's 1533-position model. The record is from RNAcentral.
UGCCAGCAGCCGCGGUAAUACGGAGGGAGCUAGCGUUGUUCGGAAUUACUGGGCGUAAAGCGCGCGUAGGCGGACUUUCAAGUCAGGGGUGAAAUCCCGAGGCUCAACCUCGGAACUGCCUUUGAUACUGAUAGUCUUGAGUCCGAGAGAGGUGAGUGGAAUUCCUAGUGUAGAGGUGAAAUUCGUAGAUAUUAGGAAGAACACCAGUGGCGAAGGCGGCUCACUGGCUCGGUACUGACGCUGAGGCGCGAAAGCGUGGGGAGCAAACAGGAUUAGAUA